This 421-nucleotide ribosomal RNA is filed under the name uncultured bacterium. RNAcentral describes it as "bacterial SSU rRNA". It matches the Rfam family "Bacterial small subunit ribosomal RNA", at positions 508 to 927 of the family's 1533-position model. The record is from RNAcentral.
CCAGCAGCCGCGGUAAUACGUAGGGGGCAAGCGUUGUUCGGAAUUACUGGGUGUAAAGGGAGUGUAGGCGGGGAGAUAAGUUAGGAGUUAAAUCCUCAGGCUUAACUUGAGAUCUGCUCUUAAUACUGUUUCUCUUGAAUAUGGGAGAGGGUGAUGGAAUUCCAGGUGUAGCGGUGGAAUGCGUAGAUAUCUGGAAGAACACCAGUUGCGAAGGCGGUCACCUGGCCCAAUAUUGACGCUGAGGCUCGAAAGCUAGGGGAGCAAACAGGAUUAGAUACCCUGGUAGUCCUAGCCUUAAACGAUGGACACUAGAUGCUGGAGAAGUCAAUCUCUUCAGUGUCGUAGCAAACGCGAUAAGUGUCCCACCUGGGGAGUACGCUCGCAAGGGUGAAACUCAAAGGAAUUGACGGGGGCCCGCACA